GAUGAACGCUGGCGGCGUGCCUAAUACAUGCAAGUCGAGCGAACGGACGAGAAGCUUGCUUUUCUGAUGUUAGCGGCGGACGGGUGAGUAACACGUGGAUAACCUACCUAUAAGACUGGGAUAACUUCGGGAAACCGGAGCUACUACUGGAGCAUAUUUUGUACGGCAGGGUUCAAGAGUGCAUGACGGUCUUCCUGUCACUUAUAGAUGGAGCCGCGCUGCAUUAGCUAGUUGGUAAGGUAACGGCUUACCAAGGCAACGAUGCAUAGCCGACCUGAGAGGGUGAUCAGCCACACUGGAACUGAGACACGGUCCAGACUCCUACGGGAGGCAGCAGUGGGGAAUCUUCCACAAUGGGCGAAAGCCUGACGGAGCAACGCCGCGUGAGUGAUGAAGGUCUUCGGAUCGUAAAGCUCUGUUAUUAGGGAAGAACAUAUGUGUAAGUAACUGUGCACAUCUUGACGGUACCUAAUCAGAAAGCAACGGCUAACUACGUG
This 497-nucleotide ribosomal RNA is filed under the name uncultured bacterium. RNAcentral's name for it is "partial 16S ribosomal RNA". It matches the Rfam family "Bacterial small subunit ribosomal RNA", at positions 28 to 507 of the family's 1533-position model. The record is from RNAcentral.